CCGGCGACCGGCGCACGGGUGAGUAACACAUAUGCAACCUGCCCUCUUCAGGGGGACAACCUUCCGAAAGGGAGGCUAAUCCCGCGUAUAUCGGUUUCGGGCAUCCGAGAUCGAGGAAAGAUUCAUCGGAAGAGGAUGGGCAUGCGGCGCAUUAGCUAGACGGCGGGGUAACGGCCCACCGUGGCGACGAUGCGUAGGGGUUCUGAGAGGAAGGUCCCCCACACUGGUACUGAGACACGGACCAGACUCCUACGGGAGGCAGCAG
Molecule: ribosomal RNA, 265 nt
Filed under: uncultured bacterium
Lineage: Bacteria
Description: partial 16S ribosomal RNA
Rfam family: Bacterial small subunit ribosomal RNA
Source: RNAcentral